This 433-nucleotide ribosomal RNA is filed under the name uncultured bacterium. Its description in RNAcentral is "partial 16S ribosomal RNA". It matches the Rfam family "Bacterial small subunit ribosomal RNA", at positions 29 to 507 of the family's 1533-position model. The record is from RNAcentral.
AACGAACGCUGGCGGCAUGCCUAACACAUGCAAGUCGAACGAGACCUUCGGGUCUAGUGGCGCACGGGUGCGUAACGCGUGGGAACCUGCCCUUAGGUUCGGAAUAACUCCCCGAAAGGGGUCCUAAUACCGGAUAAUGUCUUCGGACCAAAGAUUUAUCGCCGUUGGAUGGGCCCGCGUUGGAUUAGCUAGUUGGUAGGGUAAAAGCCUCCCAAGGAGACGAUCCAUAGCUGGUCUGAGAGGAUGAUCAGCCACACUGGGACUGCGACACGGCCCAGACUGCUACGGGAGGCAGCAGUGGGGAAUAUUGGACAAUGGGCGAAAGCCUGAUCCAGCAAUGCCGCGUGAGUGAUGAAGGCCUUAGGGUUGUAAAGCUCUUUUACCCGGGAUGAUAAUGACAGUACCGGGAGAAUAAGCUCCGGCUAACUCCGUG